CAGUCACAAGUUUGUGCCGUGUGCACAUUUAUGCCAGCCCAGUCGCAGCCCGACUGUCAGUCAGCAGUAGUUACCUUAGGCCCCCCAACGCCCACGCCCCCUUGCCUAUACUCGCAGCUUUUCCGUGCUUCCGCAGUGGCAGCAACAGCAAUAGCAGCAGGAUGCCCGACUGCAGAGUACGUUUUGAAUUUUGUCGCACUUCCUGUUACGGUCGCAGUGGGUGGGCGAGGGGCUGGUGGGCGGCUGCGCCCAGAGCUGUGCGCUUGAGCUCGGCUCACUGAACUAGUUCGGUGGCGCCCUUUAUGCUUUGCCUCAAUCAAUUGUGACUUUAAUGUUAGCAUAAAAAUAAUAAGUCAAACUUAAGUUCACAUUUAAACUGAACAAUUGCUUGGAGUUGUGCACUUUGAGUUAUUUAUCUCUCGUGUCAAAGCAAAUCAAAUUAAAACAGCAGCAAAACAGGCAAUUGAACGCUGCUGGAACUCACGAACUGACGAAGCGACUCGAAUGAACAGUUGGAAUGAACUAAAUGAACAAUGGGCAUGAACAGAAUGAACGAUAUUGUCAAAUGUAGAUCACAGUCAGUUCCGCGUCUAGUUCAAACGAACCAGCUGUGAACGAUUUGGUGCAACUCUGGCGUGCGAACUUGUGGGGCGGGCCGCGCCAUUUUAUGUGGGCCGGUGUCCUGGCCCCAGCGCGAGCCGCGUGCUCUUCCGCUUUUGCUCUGUCAUCAGCAACGUAAUUUCCGCUCUGCCAGGCCCGGCUGUGCUUUGUGUCUGCGCGUGGGUGGGCCAAAAAAAAAAAGAAAAAAAAGAAAGCAAAAGCAAAAGCAAAAUGCGAAACAAAAAAGGAUUAAGGGCUGGAGAAAACUGUGUAGCCGAGACAAAAACUGCAGCGAUUGACCUCCAGCCGGAGUUCAUAAACAUCAAGUGGCCGGCAUAUCAAAUGGCCAAUGGUUCGGGCAACAAGUGAUCCGCUCCCAGUUGAGGACAGGUAUCAAAAACAACAACAGCAACAACAACAACAACAACAACUUGGCAGUUCAUCAAAUUCUCAUGUGACCAGAGCCCAAAAGGUUCAAUUCGUUCGUUUCAUACGAAAUUUGAUAUGCGGGUCACAUAUUAAUGACUUCUUUCAUUUUACAUAACACUCGAUUCGAUGAACUGGCGACAGCCCCCCCGCCCGGCCCCGCCCGACCGACUGCAAGCAGAGCUAUUGCACCCAGCACUUGUUGGAUUCUAGGGCUUGGCCGUUGCCGCCUCGGAAAUUCCCAUUCCACCCGAUCGUGGCGACCCUUUUUGACAGUACCCAGUAACCAGGCGCGUGAUGGAACGCCGGACAAUGGAAGUGCCACCGAGGAGUGUGUGUGUGUGUGCGUGUGUGUGUGCCCCGCCUGGUUAGUGGCAACAGGUAGCGAGUGCAUUUGUAUGCAGCAUGGCGGAUGCGCCGGCCGAAGCGUUUAUUUCUUCAUUUGACGCAAAUGAUGUUCGACACAAGCCUGGAAUGCACUAAACCGCUAACUAAGCACAAUCCGAAGCCCGAAUCCACCAAUCCCCAAAUCCCAAAACCCAAACCCAAACCCGAAGCCGAAGCCGAGAGCUGAUGUCGAAACUGAAACCGAAGCUAAGCCAGAACCAGAGUUUUCUGACCGCAGCACGCAAAGGGAAAGGCAACCGACUGCAACAACAACAACAUAUGGCCAGAUACACUAGUUUUCAGAACUUUCUCUACCUUCUCCUCGACGACAUCAAAUCUCUAACCCUGCAGCUGAGCUCAAAAAUUGUGUUGAUUUUCCGAAAAGAAACUUACUUUGUGACAAAAAAUUUCUCGCGGUGCAUGAUUCUUGUUAUUUGAAACCCGGAUUUAAACAGAACAUGAAAAAGAAAGAAGAACGAGCCACAAAUUACUUUUACCGAUCACAAACACACAACAACAACAACAACAAGAAGAACAAGAGCCAGGCGAGGAAUAAGAACAUGAAGACGCGGAGAAUGACGACGAUGAUGACAAGUCGAAGUGAAGUGGACACCAGCUGAAUGCAAAUGCAUAAAUUAAGCGACAAGCAAACAAAUUUCCUAUGUACAAAUGCACUUGUCCAAAGGUUGGGCACAAUGCCCGAUCCUCAAUAUGCCAUGCCCACGCAUCCAUUCGCGGCCCAAACAAAUUGUGCAUGCAAAACCGAAUUCUCGACAAGAAUAUGGGCAUUAUUAUUAUGGUAUUAUUUUGUUUCUUGUAAGGCCGCCAAGCCGGAUGAACUUAUUGUUUAUGACAAUUUUGUUGAUGUUAUGCGGAAUUCCGAAAGAAACAUGGGCCAAGGCGUUGACAGCCUACAAAGUAACUUGUUAAGCGAUUUUUGAUUCUCACUGCAAGCAAGAAAUAUGGCAAAUAGCUAUUGUUACGACUGAGGAUUCGAACCUUUAACCAGAUUUUCACUAGUUCAAACCUUAAACCUUAUCAUAAACACUUCAAUUGAAAAUUAAAAAAAAAAAUGAUCUAAUUUUCGCCUAUUUUUAAUAUAAAAAAAAGCAAUUCAAAAUUAUUCGAACUCUUUAACUAAUUUUUCACAGGUUCAAACCUCAAUCUCUUAUCUUAAAUACUUCAAUUGAACAUUUUACAAAUCUAUAUUUUUUGGGCUUUUACCUUGAAAAUAACAUUCAAUUUUAAAUGAUAAAAAAUUGUUUAAAAAUAACCGAAGUUUCUAUUCUAAGCGAGAAUAUUUGUUGAUCAAGAAUUGGGUUUUCAAAAUUCGAUGGUUCAUCCUUGGCUGUUAUUUUUUUGAAAUUGGCUCCGAACUAGUUCAUGGCGGGAAAUUCAAACACUUUAUGCACAAUUAACCAUUCAUAUUGUCGGCACUGUGCAGUCCUUACUGCCACCUAUCAAAAGGAAUUAAGCUUUAAUGAAAAAUUGCAUUGAAUUUCAGUUAUAUAAAAGUGAUAACUUUUAAUGUUUUUUUUUUCGUUUGUUUAUAUUGCAAAUAACUAUAACAAAACAAUAAUUAAUUGAACAGAUUUCAGUAAAAUCGAAGCUUGUCAGUGGAAAAAAGCUGUUGUAGUGCAUUCCUGUGUUGGCACCGUCAAAGAGUAGUAAACUAUUCGACUACACUAAGCUACAUGUAAAAUAUAUAUAUAUGCAUAUAUGUUUAUAUAUAAGUAAUGUGCACUUAAAUUGUCUAGCAAAAAUUGUAACACUAAAAUAAUUCACAAUCACUGCUUAACUAGUA
Drosophila virilis is the source of this 3217-nucleotide long non-coding RNA. RefSeq lists it as uncharacterized. NCBI's taxonomy places the organism in Eukaryota, Metazoa, Arthropoda, Insecta, Diptera, Drosophilidae. The record is from RefSeq and is a predicted model, not a curated record.